This is a small nucleolar RNA of Esox lucius (northern pike), 96 nucleotides long. Ensembl annotates it as Small nucleolar RNA U13. The record is from Ensembl. NCBI's taxonomy places the organism in Eukaryota, Metazoa, Chordata, Actinopteri, Esociformes, Esocidae.
AUCCUUCGGUUCAUACAUGUGAUGAUCGGGAGUGUCACAGAUUCUCUGUGACAGGUGUGACCUCAUUGUUACGCAAUGCACCUCAGCCGUCUGAUC